AGCUAGCUCAAUCGGUAGAGCGUGAGACUCUUAAUCUCAAGGUUGGGGGUUCGACCCCCCGUUGGGCU
RNAcentral lists this transfer RNA (68 nucleotides) under Parasitella parasitica. It matches the Rfam family "tRNA". From Rfam's summary of the family: Transfer RNA (tRNA) molecules are approximately 80 nucleotides in length. Lineage: Eukaryota; Fungi; Mucoromycota; Mucoromycetes; Mucorales; Mucoraceae. The record is from Rfam by way of RNAcentral.